This 252-nucleotide ribosomal RNA is filed under the name uncultured bacterium. Its description in RNAcentral is "partial 16S ribosomal RNA". It matches the Rfam family "Bacterial small subunit ribosomal RNA", at positions 524 to 776 of the family's 1533-position model. The record is from RNAcentral.
UACGUAGGGGGCUAGCGUUAUCCGGAAUUACUGGGCGUAAAGGGUGCGUAGGUGGUUUCUUAAGUCAGAGGUGAAAGGCUACGGCUCAACCGUAGUAAGCCUUUGAAACUGGGGAACUUGAGUGCAGGAGAGGAGAGUGGAAUUCCUAGUGUAGCGGUGAAAUGCGUAGAUAUUAGGAGGAACACCAGUUGCGAAGGCGGCUCUCUGGACUGUAACUGACACUGAGGCACGAAAGCGUGGGGAGCGAACAGG